Molecule: long non-coding RNA, 365 nt
Filed under: Phaseolus vulgaris (common bean)
Lineage: Eukaryota; Viridiplantae; Streptophyta; Magnoliopsida; Fabales; Fabaceae
Description: long non-coding RNA (PVUL_LNC002351)
Source: RNAcentral
CGACAAGGCACCUUGCGGCUCUGCAAUACUCUGCAACAGAGACGGCAACGACGACGGCAACACACCCUGCAGCAAUGGCGACGACAACGCACUCUGCACGGCAACGACAAUGCACUCUGCACGGUGACGGCAACGCACUCUCGCACUCUACAACAAUGGAGUUUCUCUGCUCCGAAGAACCUCUUCAAGUGUCAGAUUCGAUUCGUGUUCAUUCUCUCUCUUUGUUUUUAUUUUUUUGCUUCGAAGCUCCGCAUAAGUUUACUUACAGUGUAUCUUCCCCAUCUUCAACCCUAAAUUUAUUCUGUGGACAGAGAUUUUGCUUACAAUUGCUUCACCGGUUCGAUUCAAGAGGAAUGGGCUUCAAU